UUUAGAAACUUUUUAUAAUAAUUUUUUUUAAAAAUAAAAUAUUAUUAAAAUUUUUAUAAAUAAAAAUAAUCUUUGGUUGGGGCAACCACGAAGAAAAAAUAACCUUCGAUAAAAAAAAGAAAUAAACAAAUUAAAAAAAGAAAACUUUUAAACAAAUCCGGAAAUUCCGAAUUAGAAAAAAGUUACCGCAGGGAUAACAGCGUAAUUCUCUUUAAGAGUUCAUAUUGACAAGAGAGUUUGCGACCUCGAUGUUGGAUCGAGGCAUCCAAGAGAUGCAGAAGUCUCUAAAGGUAGGUCUGUUCGACCUUUAAAGCCUUACGUGAUCUGAGUUCAGACCGACGAGAGU
RNAcentral lists this ribosomal RNA (346 nucleotides) under Comatella nigra. RNAcentral's name for it is "partial 16S ribosomal RNA". The stretch from base 193 to 346 matches the Rfam family "Bacterial large subunit ribosomal RNA", at positions 2473 to 2626 of the family's 2925-position model. The record is from RNAcentral. Lineage: Eukaryota; Metazoa; Echinodermata; Crinoidea; Comatulida; Comatulidae.